This 427-nucleotide ribosomal RNA is filed under the name uncultured bacterium. RNAcentral's name for it is "bacterial SSU rRNA". It matches the Rfam family "Bacterial small subunit ribosomal RNA", at positions 354 to 796 of the family's 1533-position model. The record is from RNAcentral.
GUCGGGGAUAUUGCACAAUGGGCGAAAGCCUGAUGCAGCGACGCCGCGUGGGCGAUGAAGGCCUUCGGGUCGUAAAGCCCUUUUCUGGGAGAAGAGACCAAGGACGGUAUCCCAGGAAUAAGCGUCGGCUAACUACGUGCCAGCAGCCGCGGUAAAACGUAGGACGCGAGCGUUAUCCGGAUUUACUGGGCGUAAAGAGCGUUGAGGCGGUUCUGUAAGUUGGACGUGAAAUCCCUCGGCCUAACUGAGGGGAGCCGUUCAAUACUGCGGAGCUUGAGGACAGCAGAGGGAGGUGGAAUUCCCGGUGUAGUGGUGAAAUGCGUAGAUAUCGGGAGGAACACCUGUGGCGAAGGCGGCCUCCUGGGCUGCUCCUGACGCUGAAGGCGAAAGCUAGGGUAGCGAACGGGAUUAGAAACCCCUGUAGUCC